Molecule: long non-coding RNA, 414 nt
Organism: Populus euphratica (Euphrates poplar)
Lineage: Eukaryota; Viridiplantae; Streptophyta; Magnoliopsida; Malpighiales; Salicaceae
Exons: 2
Source: RefSeq, a predicted model, not a curated record
UUCUUUGAAGCAAUGUUAGUCCACCUUCUUUGCCAGUAAGCCUUUGAAGAAACGGAACAAUGAUUCGGUCAUAGAGGGGAAUCCAGAUGGUGAGGGUUAUCAUUGUAAAGAUUACGUACGUUGCGGCAGGCACCUCAAAACUGGUGCCCAGGCGUCUAUCCAUCUGAAGGGCUUGGAAAACUGCAUAAGUCUGUUGCUGGAUCAAGGGAAUAUGAUAAAGUAUGGAUGUUUACCCUAUGGGAAAUAUCCUCAGCAAACACUUUCACUUCCUCGACUUGUUGGAUGCUACAAAGUUUCGAUGGGUUAGUAGCUGAACCAUCCAAAUUAAUUUGAUCUCCAUCUGUAAUGAUUGCAGUUUUGUCAAGAUACCUGCAGUGGUCGUCAUCAUUGAGUAUUAAAAGUCAAAACGAAAAA